RNAcentral lists this ribosomal RNA (531 nucleotides) under Triticum aestivum (bread wheat). Its description in RNAcentral is "partial small subunit ribosomal RNA". Lineage: Eukaryota; Viridiplantae; Streptophyta; Magnoliopsida; Poales; Poaceae. The record is from RNAcentral.
AUGGAUACGCGUGACAUACUGAAUGUGAGGUUUCAUUUCAAUGGUCAAUUUAUUCGAAUUGGGCCUGAUUUAGACUAUGUUGGGGGAGAUGAGGCAAUGCCAGAGAUAGUAAGAGACAAGUUGUCUUUGCCAGAAGUGAAAGGUUUUUUUGCUGAUCAUGUUCCUUUCAAAGAAAGUAUGAAGAUUUUCUUUCUGGUGCCUGGUAAAGAACUAGUGGAUGGGUUGUUAUUUUUGUGUGAUGAUGCUGGCUGUAUGAAGAUGUCUGAAUAUAUAACUGCAGGAGGAGUUGCAGAGGUUUAUGUGGAAUAUUUUGGGGAGCAAGAUGAUGAAAGUGCAAGUGACAGUGGAAGUGACUUCGAAAAUGAGAUGGGAAAUGAGGUAGCAGAAGAAGAUGUGCAGAUUGUUUGUGUAAAUCCAUCAUCCUUGACUAGAAGUGAGAACUUGCUUGUACCAAAUGGGAGUGGUGUUAUUACUCAAGUGAUUAGCAGCCCUACAAAACAGAAUUUCAUUAGGAAACAGAGGCUAACAUAG